UCCCGAGUGGCUCAGACAAUAAAGAGUCUGACUGCAAUGUAGGAGACCCGGGUUCGAUCCCUGGUUCGGGAA
Transfer RNA from Ovis aries (sheep), 72 nucleotides. It matches the Rfam family "tRNA". Rfam says of the family: Transfer RNA (tRNA) molecules are approximately 80 nucleotides in length. Their secondary structure includes four short double-helical elements and three loops (D, anti-codon, and T loops). The record is from Rfam. NCBI's taxonomy places the organism in Eukaryota, Metazoa, Chordata, Mammalia, Artiodactyla, Bovidae.